Molecule: long non-coding RNA, 682 nt
Organism: Perca flavescens (yellow perch)
Lineage: Eukaryota; Metazoa; Chordata; Actinopteri; Perciformes; Percidae
Exons: 4
Source: RefSeq, a predicted model, not a curated record
UCUCUGUUGUCAGAGUGUUUUUUGGCUCCACAGGAUUCUUUGUGUCUCCUCCUCCUCUUCCUCCUGAUCAAGCUGAAACAGGUUUGUUGUUUUGCUAUCAGAGACAAAGGUUUCAGUCGACACACGAUAAGAUGUCUCUGUGUCCCAGAGGUCUUCCAGGUGGAGCUGCAGCGUGAGAAACCCUCCAAUCAGAGCAGUCAAGUAUGGGCGGUUCUAUAUUGAAUGACUUUCUGGCCUUCCUUGAUGCAAAAUCAUCAAUGAUGUCAUCGUAUGAAAUCUGCUCCCCUAUUGAGUGAUUGAUAUUGAUGACGGCGAGGCCAGUGAUCCGUUCCUGGGACAUGGUGACCUCAGGUGGGGCUGUGACUCAUCAGGAAACAACUCACCUGAGUUCUUCUCUGUCAACUCUUUGGACUGUUUGAAGAAACUGUGGGGCUGUGACUCAACAGGAAACAACUCACCUGAGUUCUUCUCUGUCAACUCUUUGGACUGUUUGAAGAAACUGUACGUUGCUGUUUGAUACUUUACCAACACGUUAGUCUCUGGUCUCUUCAGGGUUAGUUUCUGGCUCUGUAAAGUUAAGUAUAAUGUUUCUACUUCACUUCUUAUUUCCUGAGAAAGUUUGGACGAAUCUUGUGUUGAAGAUAAAUCUACAUGUUGUAACAUGAACUCCUACAGAGGAGGU